GACGAACGCUGGCGGCGUGCUUAACACAUGCAAGUCGAACGGAAAGGCCCUGCUUUUGUGGGGUGCUCGAGUAGCGAACGGGUGAGUAACACGUGAGUAACCUGCCCUUGACUUUGGGAUAACUUCAGGAAACUGGGGCUAAUACCGGAUAGGAGCUCCUGCUGCAUGGUGGGGGUUGGAAAGUUUCGGCGGUUGGGGAUGGACUCGCGGCUUAUCAGCUUGUUGGUGGGGUAGUGGCUUACCAAGGCUUUGACGGGUAGCCGGCCUGAGAGGGUGACCGGCCACAUUGGGACUGAGAUACGGCCCAGACUCCUACGGGAGGCAGCAGUGGGGAAUAUUGCACAAUGGGCGGAAGCCUGAUGCAGCAACGCCGCGUGCGGGAUGACGGCCUUCGGGUUGUAAACCGCUUUCGCCUGUAACGAAGCGUGAGUGACGGUAAUGGGUAAAGAAGCACCGGCUAACUACGUG
Molecule: ribosomal RNA, 468 nt
Filed under: uncultured bacterium
Lineage: Bacteria
Description: partial 16S ribosomal RNA
Rfam family: Bacterial small subunit ribosomal RNA
Source: RNAcentral